UUUUCUCCUAAAAGUUUCAGCCAGCAUGACCACACACAUGCUAGUUAUUGAUACAGGAACUGCUCCAAUAUUCAUCGGUUGGUGGAUCAUAUGGCACCUUAAGGUUUGGCAGUUCUUAAUGGAAGUUCUGAUCACUUCAGAUCAAUGGAUUUUAUUUGUAUGUUUUAAGCAUGAGUAGUGAUCAUGGUUUUGUUUAUAGGUUUAGGUGAACAUUUGGAGCGUUUGGGAACAUUUGUGUUAGGAAAUUGCGGUUCUUGGUUUUUCGACUUCUACAGUGCACAUGGUAUCUGGUGCGAGCACUAUCCACACACAAUGCAGAAAAAGAUGCCGAGAAGUGUAAAAUYAUAGAUGGCAUGAUUGCAAUAUUUCGGGUACUUGUUGAAGGUGGAGACAGACUGAAGUAAGCUUCUUUAAUCAACCGACUCCUCUUUUCAAUGGGAAUGGACCUAAGCAAAAGGUAUUGACUCCAUAUCCUCUUGAAUCAUCCU
Molecule: long non-coding RNA, 488 nt
Organism: Cynara cardunculus var. scolymus (artichoke)
Lineage: Eukaryota; Viridiplantae; Streptophyta; Magnoliopsida; Asterales; Asteraceae
Exons: 3
Source: RefSeq, a predicted model, not a curated record